Molecule: ribosomal RNA, 506 nt
Filed under: uncultured bacterium
Lineage: Bacteria
Description: partial 16S ribosomal RNA
Rfam family: Bacterial small subunit ribosomal RNA
Source: RNAcentral
ACUCAAAGGAAUUGACGGGGGCUCACACAAGCGGUGGAGCAUGUGGAUCAAUUCGAAGCAACGCGAAGAACCUUACCUGGGUUUGACAUGCAUGGAUGCCCUCGACGAAAGUUGAGUAAGCUGCCUUUGGUGAAACAUGCACAGGUGCUGCAUGGCUGUCGUCAGCUCGUGCUGUGAAGUGUCGGGUUAAGUCCCUUAACGAGCGAAACCCUUAUCGCUAGUUGCCAGCGGGUCAUGCCGGGAACUCUAGUGAGACUGCCGGCGUCAAGCCGGAGGAAGGUGGGGACGACGUCAAGUCAUCAUGGCCUUUAUGCCCAGGGCGUCACACGUGCUACAAUGGGGUGGUACAGAGCGAUGCGAGACCGCAAGGUGGAGCAAAUCGCAGAAAACACCCCUCAGUUCGGAUUGAGGUCUGCAACCCGACCUCAUGAAGCUGGAAUCGCUAGUAAUCGCGUAUCAGCCAUGACGCGGUGAAUAUGUUCCUGAGCCUUGUACACACCGCCCGU